This 253-nucleotide ribosomal RNA is filed under the name uncultured bacterium. RNAcentral's name for it is "partial 16S ribosomal RNA". It matches the Rfam family "Bacterial small subunit ribosomal RNA", at positions 524 to 776 of the family's 1533-position model. The record is from RNAcentral.
UACAGAGGGUGCGAGCGUUGUUCGGAAUUAUUGGGCGUAAAGGGCUCGUAGGCGGUUUGUCGCGUCGGGAGUGAAAACCUCGGGCUUAACUCGGGGCUUGCUUUCGAUACGGGCAGACUAGAGGUAUGCAGGGGAGAACGGAAUUCCUGGUGUAGCGGUGAAAUGCGCAGAUAUCAGGAGGAACACCGGUGGCGAAGGCGGUUCUCUGGGCAUGAUCUGACGCUGAGGAGCGAAAGUGUGGGGAGCGAACAGG